Molecule: ribosomal RNA, 429 nt
Filed under: Fusobacteriota bacterium
Lineage: Bacteria; Fusobacteriati; Fusobacteriota
Description: Fusobacteria bacterium partial 16S ribosomal RNA
Rfam family: Bacterial small subunit ribosomal RNA
Source: RNAcentral
UGGGGAAUAUUGCGCAAUGGGCGAAAGCCUGACGCAGCGACGCCGCGUGAGGGAUGAAGGUUUUCGGAUCGUAAACCUCUGUCAGAAGGGAAGAAACCGCACUGUGCUAAUCAGCAGUGCCUUGACGGUACCUUCAAAGGAAGCACCGGCUAACUCCGUGCCAGCAGCCGCGGUAAUACGGAGGGUGCAAGCGUUAAUCGGAAUUACUGGGCGUAAAGCGCACGUAGGCUGCUUUGUAAGUCAGGGGUGAAAUCCCACGGCUCAACCGUGGAACUGCCUUUGAUACUGCUUAGCUUGAAUCCGGGAGAGGGUGGCGGAAUUCCAGGUGUAGGAGUGAAAUGCGUAGAGAUCUGGAGGAACAUCAGUGGCGAAGGCGGCCACCUGGACCGGUAUUGACGCUGAGGUGCGAAAGCGUGGGGAGCAAACAGG